AGCGUAUUUUGCGCAGGCGGAGCUCGACCGCCCAUUUCGGAAAUGAUCCGGUUUAUCAAAGAGCGCCGGGAAGUGUGUGGGGUCGACGUCUCG
Molecule: non-coding RNA, 93 nt
Organism: Roseovarius mucosus DSM 17069
Lineage: Bacteria; Pseudomonadati; Pseudomonadota; Alphaproteobacteria; Rhodobacterales; Roseobacteraceae
Source: Rfam